This 253-nucleotide ribosomal RNA is filed under the name uncultured bacterium. RNAcentral describes it as "partial 16S ribosomal RNA". It matches the Rfam family "Bacterial small subunit ribosomal RNA", at positions 524 to 776 of the family's 1533-position model. The record is from RNAcentral.
UACAGAGGUCUCAAGCGUUGUUCGGAUUCAUUGGGCGUAAAGGGUGCGUAGGCGGCGCGGUAAGUUGGGUGUGAAAUCUCGGAGCUUAACUCCGAAACUGCAUUCGAUACUGCCGUGCUUGAGGACUGGAGAGGAGACUGGAAUUUACGGUGUAGCGGUGAAAUGCGUAGAUAUCGUAAGGAAGACCAGUGGCGAAGGCGGGUCUCUGGACAGUUCCUGACGCUGAGGCACGAAGGCCAGGGGAGCAAACGGG